Long non-coding RNA from Trachemys scripta elegans, 883 nucleotides. RefSeq lists it as uncharacterized. The record is from RefSeq and is a predicted model, not a curated record. Lineage: Eukaryota; Metazoa; Chordata; Testudines; Emydidae. The transcript has 2 exons.
CUCAUGAGAGACUAUUACAACAGGAUGUUGAGAGCCUUCUUACUCCAAGACCAACAGAAGAAGUGCCUCUUUAAUACAAGGGAAAAGGCAGGACGAUGCAGGUGAUGAUAUACACCAUCACAGCAAUGUUCUGUAUGAACAGAUAAAGAGCAGGACCAUUUUCUCUGUAUGAAGAAGCAGCCUGCCUGUGGAAUUGAGGCAUCUGUUACCACAUCAGCCUGACAUCUGUGUACCUAUCAGGACUAAAGAACACUCUAGCAGAUGGCCUGAGCAGGUAGUUUUCAGAUUACCAUGACUUGACAAUAAAGGACUCUAUCAUUCUGAAAGGUUUUUGAAAGUGGGACCAGCCCCACGUGGACUUAUUUGCUACAGAAACAAAGAAAAAAUUACCCAUCUUUUUACUCCAGGGGAGUCCCAAGUCCAGAAGCCCUCUCAGAUACAUUCCUCACUCCUUGGACACUGCAUUGAAUGUAUGCAUAUUUCCCAGUUCCUCUUACACUGAGGGUUUUAAGGAAACUCAAAUAAGAAUCUGUGGUAAUGAUCCAGAUAGCACCAGAUUGGCUCAGACAAUUCGGAUAUCAAGACCUCAUGAGAGUCAAUUCAACUUCCAAAACUUUGCCAGUAAGUCCAGACAUAGUCUCCCUGAUCAUCUUGCAUCUGAAGCUGACCUCUCUAUGGCUCAUAGCCUGACUGUAGGCUGGCAGACUCCCAUGAAGAGAGCUUGUUCUAAGGAUGUCAAAAAUAUUCUCAAACAAAGUAGAAGGGAAUCUAAAAAAAUCACCUAUGCAGCAAAGCAGGAAAAGUUCUGCCUUUGGGCACAGCAACACAGUAUUUCUCCAACAGAAUUAGAUGAUCCUAAUAUUCUGGGCUACGUAACAUAAUU